This 73-nucleotide transfer RNA is filed under the name Melampsora larici-populina 98AG31. RNAcentral's name for it is "tRNA-Ile (AAT) (tRNA-Ile-AAT-1-1)". It matches the Rfam family "tRNA". From Rfam's summary of the family: Transfer RNA (tRNA) molecules are approximately 80 nucleotides in length. Their secondary structure includes four short double-helical elements and three loops (D, anti-codon, and T loops). Lineage: Eukaryota; Fungi; Basidiomycota; Pucciniomycetes; Pucciniales; Melampsoraceae. The record is from RNAcentral.
GGUCGAUUAGCUUAGUUGGUAGAGCGUGGUACUAAUAAUGCCAAGGUCAUGGGUUCGAUCCCCAUAUUGACCA